Molecule: non-coding RNA, 26 nt
Filed under: Mus musculus (house mouse)
Lineage: Eukaryota; Metazoa; Chordata; Mammalia; Rodentia; Muridae
Source: RNAcentral
GCACAUGGCUCUCGAGUUCUCUCUCU